RNAcentral lists this transfer-messenger RNA (395 nucleotides) under Treponema sp. It matches the Rfam family "transfer-messenger RNA". From Rfam's summary of the family: Bacterial tmRNA, also known as 10Sa RNA or SsrA, is named for its dual tRNA and mRNA-like properties. Its role is to liberate the mRNA from a stalled ribosome. To accomplish this part of the tmRNA is used as a reading frame that ends in a translation stop signal. Lineage: Bacteria; Pseudomonadati; Spirochaetota; Spirochaetia; Treponematales; Treponemataceae. The record is from RNAcentral. RNAcentral also lists the same sequence under 1 other name.
GGGGGUGUACCGGUUUCGACAGACAGGAGUAAUCUUGUGCUGCAGGUGAGGCUGUCGCCUGGUCUCUGAUACAGACGAAAACAAUAACUGCAAAACGUAGAGAAGACGACGAGUCUGAAAACGAACAGUUAGCUCUUGCUGCCUAACUUAAGGCACUGAGAGCCGGAAUUUAUGCUGCGCUGUUCCUAGCGGUGUAAAAUUCUGUCACAAAUAGGGACUUGCCUUGCAGAAUGUGCGGGUUCUGCCCGGGACGCUGAGCAAUCGGCCAUCCGUAAUAAGGAGACGACGCCUUUGAAGCCGCUACCGUCUCCCGACAAAUAUCUCGCUUCAAUAAACCUGUAGAGGCACCUGCUUAGCCUGCUUGGACGGGAGUUCAACUCUCCCCAUCUCCAUAA